This 116-nucleotide non-coding RNA is filed under the name Octodon degus (degu). The record is from RNAcentral. Lineage: Eukaryota; Metazoa; Chordata; Mammalia; Rodentia; Octodontidae.
GUGUUGUAUAAAAGGAGAGGGUAGCACUUCCCUUGACAAGAAUGGAAGAGGACCUCAGGCUUCAUGACUGAAAAAGGCAUUGGCAUCUACUUCAUGGGAGCUAACCACCAUUAUUU